GAGGGUAUAGCGCAAGUAGUAGAGUGCAUGCUUAGCAUGCAGGAGGUCCUGGGUUCAAUCCCCAGUACCUCCU
Molecule: transfer RNA, 73 nt
Filed under: Camelus bactrianus (Bactrian camel)
Lineage: Eukaryota; Metazoa; Chordata; Mammalia; Artiodactyla; Camelidae
Also listed under: 2 other names
Rfam family: tRNA
About the family: Transfer RNA (tRNA) molecules are approximately 80 nucleotides in length. Their secondary structure includes four short double-helical elements and three loops (D, anti-codon, and T loops). Further hydrogen bonds mediate the characteristic L-shaped molecular structure. tRNAs have two regions of fundamental functional importance: the anti-codon, which is responsible for specific mRNA codon recognition, and the 3' end, to which the tRNAs corresponding amino acid is attached (by aminoacyl-tRNA synthetases). tRNAs cope with the degeneracy of the genetic code in two manners: having more than one tRNA (with a specific anti-codon) for a particular amino acid; and 'wobble' base-pairing, i.e. permitting non-standard base-pairing at the 3rd anti-codon position.
Source: Rfam by way of RNAcentral